UUUUUUUUUUUUUUUUUGAGACAGAGUUUCGCUCUGUUGCCCAGGGUGGAGCACAGUGGCUUGAUCUCAGCUCACUGCAAGCUCCACCUCCCAGGUUCACGCCAUUCUCCUGCCUCAGCCUCCUGAGUAGCCGGGACUACAGGCACCCACCACUGCGCCCAGCUAAUUUUUUUGUAUUUUUUUUUUUUUAGUAGAGACGGCAUUUCACCAUGUUAGCCAGGAUGGUCUCGAUCUCCUGACUUCAUGAUCCGCCCACCUCGGCCUCCCAAAGUGCUGGGAUUACAGGGGCGAGCCACUGCGCCCAGCCUGAUCAUUUGUUUCUAACAAUCUGGGGGCUCGUCCGGAAUUCCCAUUCUCCUCUGAGAAAAGGGUCUCCAGUCACCAAUAGUGAGGAGAAGCAUCCCACUGCCUCAUUGAGGUGGCCUCAUGGUGAGGGAUCAGGACCCACCCAGUGUGAUGAAUAAACCCGGACUCUCAGCAGUCUGGAAAGGAACAGACCAACAACUUAAGAGAAAAGGAUCCUCACAUACCAUGGUGACCAGGACUAAAGGCCUCUUGGCACAUACACCACCCCUUGAAUUUCCAGUUCACCACCACCAGCCCGGACAGUGACCACAUUCUCAUCAAAGGUCAGAAAGAAAGGAAGCUCAAGCCCACCUGGGAGGGACAUUAUCUAGUGUUUCUAAUGACUGAGACAGCCGUCCACACCACUGAAAAAGAAUGGACUCACCAUACCUGAGUCAAAAGAGCACCACCCACUCCAGAAUCAUGGACAGCUAUUUCAGGGCCAAUUCCAACCAAGUUAAAGCUAAAACGGGUUUGAUCCUC
Molecule: long non-coding RNA, 828 nt
Organism: Homo sapiens (human)
Lineage: Eukaryota; Metazoa; Chordata; Mammalia; Primates; Hominidae
Exons: 2
Source: RefSeq, a predicted model, not a curated record